ACUCCUACGGGAGGCAGCAGUGGGGAAUUUUGGACAAUGGGCGAAAGCCUGAUCCAGCAAUGCCGCGUGAGUGAAGAAGGCCUUCGGGUUGUAAAGCUCUUUUGUCAGGGAAGAAACGGUGAAAGCUAAUAUCUUUUGCUAAUGACGGUACCUGAAGAAUAAGCACCGGCUAACUACGUGCCAGCAGCCGCGGUAAUACGUAGGGUGCAAGCGUUAAUCGGAAUUACUGGGCGUAAAGCGUGCGCAGGCGGUUUUGUAAGUCUGAUGUGAAAUCCCCGGGCUCAACCUGGGAAUUGCAUUGGAGACUGCAAGGCUAGAAUCUGGCAGAGGGGGGUAGAAUUCCACGUGUAGCAGUGAAAUGCGUAGAUAUGUGGAGGAACACCGAUGGCGAAGGCAGCCCCCUGGGUCAAGAUUGACGCUCAUGCACGAAAGCGUGGGGAGCAAACAGGAUUAGAUACCCCAGUAGUCCCAUGA
This 474-nucleotide ribosomal RNA is filed under the name uncultured organism. Its description in RNAcentral is "partial 16S ribosomal RNA". It matches the Rfam family "Bacterial small subunit ribosomal RNA", at positions 335 to 800 of the family's 1533-position model. The record is from RNAcentral.